RNAcentral lists this ribosomal RNA (265 nucleotides) under uncultured bacterium. RNAcentral's name for it is "partial 16S ribosomal RNA". It matches the Rfam family "Bacterial small subunit ribosomal RNA", at positions 793 to 1055 of the family's 1533-position model. The record is from RNAcentral.
GUCCAUGCCGUAAACGUUGGGCGCUAGAUGUGGGGACCAUUCCACGGUUUCCGUGUCGCAGCUAACGCAUUAAGCGCCCCGCCUGGGGAGUACGGCCGCAAGGCUAAAACUCAAAGGAAUUGACGGGGGCCCCGCACAAGCGGCGGAGCAUGCGGAUUAAUUCGAUGCAACGCGAAGAACCUUACCAAGGCUUGACAUAUACGAGAACGCUGCAGAAAUGUAGAACUCUUUGGACACUCGUAUACAGGUGGUGCAUGGUUGUCGU